This is a long non-coding RNA of Carassius gibelio (silver crucian carp), 575 nucleotides long. RefSeq lists it as uncharacterized. The transcript has 3 exons. NCBI's taxonomy places the organism in Eukaryota, Metazoa, Chordata, Actinopteri, Cypriniformes, Cyprinidae. The record is from RefSeq and is a predicted model, not a curated record.
AAGACCAUGAUGAAGACCCUGAACAACACAACCCUGAACAAGAGCAGGAGAACAUGUGCGGGACGAUCUGACUGCUGCUGUGUCUGCUCACCAUGAGCACCACUACCUGGAAAACAUUUACACAGAUGAACUGGACUGGUCAGCAGAAGGUUGCUGGAUCAAUCUCCAGCGGUGUGUCUUUACUCCCGGUGACUCCAGAGGGAUUGAGAGCCUGUAAUAAGAGCACUAUGCUCUCGGUGGCUCUGGGGUCACUGAAGAUGAAGAGUCCACAGGAACACCUGGUCCUGAUGAGAAAACAAGGGGAGAUGCAGUGAUGGAGCAUUUCACCCACUGCACUCCAUCUUCUCCAUCCUCAGAGCACACAGCCGUCAGCAGACAUUUCAGAUCCUGCAAAGAUGCACAAACACAAAACAAAAGCAGUCAUUUUAACAGCACAGUGUCAUUUCAUUUCUGUAUUAGAAGUAACAGAAUGAUCUAACUUUAUAUUUUUCUUUCAGGUUUUUUCCACAGAUGCUGCUGUCACCUGCUCCACCACAAAAGAUCUGCAUCAAAUGUACAGCAAACCAGAAUCAGAA